Saccostrea cuccullata (small rock oyster) is the source of this 1925-nucleotide long non-coding RNA. RefSeq lists it as uncharacterized. The record is from RefSeq and is a predicted model, not a curated record. Lineage: Eukaryota; Metazoa; Mollusca; Bivalvia; Ostreida; Ostreidae. The transcript has 5 exons.
UCUUUAUCAGUGUCAUUUGGUUCAUCAAACUGUCUUUGACUUUACUAUCUUUAACAUCUUCAUCCAAAUCUGUAUGAUUUCACUGUAUAUUCACCCAUAACUGCCAGAGAUACUAUAUAAAAGAAAAGCUUGUAGAUGCGAAGAAAAGUCGUUGUUUACAGCACAAUGUGACAACUUCACAAUCCGCCAUAUUUGUGUUUGGACGGUUUCCAUGCAAAUUGUUCUUGCCCUAAAUGUAUCAUCGUGGUUCUUCGAAAAUAUUUUCUUCUGUAACACUUUCUGUUAGUAGCAUUGGUUGAUCAAGGAUAUUUAUAUUUUAUUUUUCUAAUAUGCGGGUCGUUUGUCACUGAUAAUAACUUACGUGUUUUUUUUAACAAGAUUCUCGGGAAAAUGUCGGGAUAUUUCUUAAAGGUGUACAAAAUACCCCUACACCGUGUAUGCAGCAUUCUCUCGCGCGAACUUCCGAGAGGUGGUACAAAAAGACUGAUCUUCGAUCAAUUAGUACCCGGUGUAUAAAAUAUAUUUUACUGUCAACUCAGCUUUGAAUAUUAAUUUGUCAGAAAAUAUUCGCUAAAAUAUAUUUUCAUUUUGUAAAAUAAACAAAACGUAAAUUCACAUUAAUCACAAAUUAUUUUCAAGAAUAAACAAACCGCAUUUUCUUGGUGUGGCACGAAAUAACUUUACACCGUCCUUUAUCAUCCUCUCGCGAGACUUCAUCGAGAAGCGCAAAAUAGGAGUUCAAGGAGCGGCAAUGUUUAGAGAGACUGGUGAAAUGUAAUGAAAUGCACAACUUACGCCCAAGAUUGACUCUAAUUCUUCACAUAAACCAUGUUCUCUUUCCCAAAAAUCUUGGUUUCGCUAGGAGUGCAGUAAAGGGAAUGUUGGAAGAAGUGUAGAUAUCAUGGCCACAGGCCAGUGGGCUAGAACCUUGAAGCCUGGCAAGGAUUAUGAGACUGGAAACUCCCAUUGAGACUACCAAAUGAAGAGAAAGUUUCAGACUGUUUAACUCGGACUAAGGGAAAAGAAGCAAAUUACAACAAGGAGAAUAUUGCCGAGAAAGCAAAGACAAGUGAAAAGUCGAGUGAAGAAAAAGCAAACAAGGCUUCACGAUCUGCAACUAGGCCACUGGCGAUGAAGAAGAAAAAUGUACAGCUAAAGAAGAUACAUCAGUGAUCAACUAAAGCUGGGCGACUUAUAUUGGAUUGACGAGGUGCAGGGGGGAUAUUAAUUUGGGUCUGUUUAUCUUUCUGUUUGUCAAUCUGUCUGUCUGUAACACUUCGUUCUCUUAACAUUUCCAAAAAGCCAUCAGAUAUUGCAAUGACAUUUUAUAUUAUAACUCAUUUUGACGAUCCCACUGCAGAACAUGAUUAAUCAUCAAUACAAAUUUAAUAUUGUUUAUAAAUUAAAUAUUACCCUUAUAUAUUUUGAAGUGAAAUGGUCAGAGGUCAAGGCCUCUUUCGGGGGCACAUAUUGUUUUUGCCUGUCUGUUUAUCUGUCUAUUGCCAAUUUACCUUUUGCCAUAACUUUUGAAUCAUGAGAGAUAUAGAUACUUCAUAUUGGGUAUGCUUACUCCACUUUCAAAUGAGACCAAGACCAAUGACCUUGACUGUCAUCGUUAUGCUAAAAUAUAGCCUUAUUGAAUCUUUUACUUUUGAACCAUAAGAGGUAGAGAUUUUAUAUUGAGUAUCUAUACUCCACUAAUUAAGUUCUUUCAAAUUACAUCAAGGUUAAUGACCUUGUGACUUUGACCUAUAUGUUUUUGGUUUUUUUUCAAACUUUGUUGCCACCAGGUGCAUACUGUUUUUGUUUUUUUAAUGGGGGGGGAGUGUUAUGAAUUAGUUUUGUUUGGUAUCUGAAUCUUUUAUUGUACAGAAUUCUUCAGAAGUGACGAACCCUCACCCCUACUCUCUACACUAGGUUGUUGA